UACGGAGGGUGCAAGCAUUAAUCGGAUUUAUUGGGCGUAAAGGGCGCGUAGGCGGAGAUAAAAGUCAGAUGUGAAAUCCUGGGGCUUAACCCCAGAACUGCAUUUGAAACUCUAUUUCUAGAGGGUAGAAGGAGAAAACGGAAUUCCACAAGUAGCGGUGAAAUGCGUAGAUAUGUGGAAGAACACCGGUGGCGAAGGCGGUUUUCUAUUUUACUCCUGACGCUGAGGCGCGAAAGCAAGGGGAUCAAACAGG
RNAcentral lists this ribosomal RNA (253 nucleotides) under uncultured bacterium. RNAcentral's name for it is "partial 16S ribosomal RNA". It matches the Rfam family "Bacterial small subunit ribosomal RNA", at positions 524 to 776 of the family's 1533-position model. The record is from RNAcentral.